Molecule: ribosomal RNA, 476 nt
Filed under: uncultured bacterium
Lineage: Bacteria
Description: bacterial SSU rRNA
Rfam family: Bacterial small subunit ribosomal RNA
Source: RNAcentral
UGAACGCUGGCGGCGUGCUUAACACAUGCAAGUCGAACGGGAAUUACUUUUAGCUUGCUAAGUUGUAAUCUAGUGGCGGACGGUGAGUAACGCGUGGUAACCUGCCUUAUACAGGGGGACAACAGUUGGAAACGACUGCUAAUACCGCAUAAGCGCACAGAUAGGCAUCUAUCAGUGUGAAAAACUCCGGUGGUAUAAGAUGGACCCGCGUCUGAUUAGCUAGUUGGUGAGGUAACGGCCCACCAAGGCGACGAUCAGUAGCCGGCCUGAGAGGGCAAUCGGCCACAUUGGGACUGAGACACGGCCCAAACUCCUACGGGAGGCAGCAGUGGGGAAUAUUGCACAAUGGAGGAAACUCUGAUGCAAGCGACGCCGCGUGAGUGAAGAAGUAUUUCGGUAUGUAAAGCUCUAUCAGCAGGAAAGAAAAUGACGGUACCUGACUAAGAAGCCCCGGCUAACUACGUGCCAGCAGCUGC